This is a long non-coding RNA of Oncorhynchus tshawytscha (Chinook salmon), 408 nucleotides long. The record is from Ensembl. NCBI's taxonomy places the organism in Eukaryota, Metazoa, Chordata, Actinopteri, Salmoniformes, Salmonidae.
AUGGGGUUAGGGAGAGGAGUGAUGGGGUUAGGGAGAGGAGUGAUGAGGUUAGGGAGAGGAGUGAUGAGGUUAGGGAGAGGAGUGAUAGAGAGUGAGGAUGAGGGAGAGUGAGGAUGAGGUUAGGGAGAGGAGUGAUGGAGAGUGAGGAUGAGGUUAGGGAGAGGAGUGAUGGGGAGUGAGGAUGAGGGAGAGUGAGGAUGAGGAGUGAUGGAGAGUGAGGAUGAGGUUAGGGAGAGGAGUGGUGAGGAUGAGGUUAGGGAGAGGAGUGAUGGAGUGAGGAUGAGGUUAGGGAGAGGAGGGAUGGGGGGAGGGGGAGUGAGGAUGAGGUUAGGGAGAGGAGUGAUGAGGUUAGGGAGAGGAGUGAUGAGGUUAGGGAGAGGAGUGAUGGGGUUAGGGAGAGGAGUGAGG